GCCUGGGGUGAACCAUAAGAGGCCACGCUAAAGGAACCCCCAAUGAAUAGUUGCUUGGAGCAGGAUUUUAGUAAUUCUGGAUGGCUUCAAGGUUUCAGAUCUGAAGGAGAUACUGUCGGUCCAGACACUAUUUAAUGUUGGCAUCAGCUAGGCCGCUCCCUAAGGUAUAUGUAGGUCGACUGCUUAGGCCUUGAAUUUUUUUGAUUUUCAUUACUCCUA
RNAcentral lists this long non-coding RNA (219 nucleotides) under Elaeis guineensis (African oil palm). RNAcentral describes it as "long non-coding RNA (EGUI_LNC021754)". Lineage: Eukaryota; Viridiplantae; Streptophyta; Magnoliopsida; Arecales; Arecaceae. The record is from RNAcentral.